This 440-nucleotide ribosomal RNA is filed under the name uncultured bacterium. RNAcentral describes it as "partial 16S ribosomal RNA". It matches the Rfam family "Bacterial small subunit ribosomal RNA", at positions 339 to 795 of the family's 1533-position model. The record is from RNAcentral.
CUACGGGUCGCUGCAGUGGGGAAUAUUGCACAAUGGGCGACCGCCUGCGGAAGAAACGCCGCGUGAAUGCAGAAGGUCUUCGGAUCGUAAAGUUCUUUUCUUAGGGAAUAAACCUGCCGGGACCCAAGGAAUAAGCACCGGCUAAAUACGUGCCAGCAGCCGCGGUAGAUACGUAUGGUGCAAGCGUUAUCCGGAAUCACUGGGCGUAAAGGGAGCGUAGGCGGCUUUGCAAGUCAGAAGUGAAAGGCUACGGCUCAACCGUGGUAAGCUUUUGAAACUGCAAGGCUAGAGUGCAGGAGAGGCAAGUGGAAUUCCUAGUGUAGAGGUGAAAUUCGUAGAUAUUAGGAGGAACACCAGUGGCGAAGGCGACUUGCUGGAGUGUAACUGACGCUGAGGCUCGAAAGCGUGGGGAGCGAACAGGAUUAGAUACCCUCGUAGUC